Long non-coding RNA from Oreochromis niloticus (Nile tilapia), 939 nucleotides. RefSeq lists it as uncharacterized. The record is from RefSeq and is a predicted model, not a curated record. The transcript has 3 exons. Lineage: Eukaryota; Metazoa; Chordata; Actinopteri; Cichliformes; Cichlidae.
GUCUUCACAAUCCCCACAACUGGUUGUGGAGAUUUGAUUAUGGGCUCAUGUGAACCCUGAUGUACAACCUCAGAUCAAUAUAUUUGAUUCCACUGACAUCAGUCUCACCACUAAGUGUUAUGAUGCAGUGAAAGUAGAUGUGACACUGCGAUGUCGACGUAUAGCUGUAAAUCUCGGAAAUUUUGCUGAUAUCUUUACGUGGAAUUAAAUAAAUUCAACCCCUGUGACAAGCAGGCAUUUAGAAAUAUAACAUUUCUUUAGCUGUUUUAUGACUUUAGAAUAGACAUUAAAAAAACAGCAAUGUAUGUGCAAAUGUCUUGAUAUCCUUCUAGUUAUAAAUUCAUCAACAUCAACUUUUUUUCCUAAGGACAUCUUCAGAACUUCACGAUUUUUCUAUUUCUUCAGACCUGAAGUAGCACCUAGCGCCGACUCCCCUGAGAUCCUGAGUCAGCUGAGCACCUGGAAUGCUGAUGUGAACAGACGGUGAUAGAGGGAAGGAAAUAGAGACUGUCAUGCGAGCAUUACUUGCCAUGUCGUCUUGGAUGGAUAGAUCGGACGACUCUCUCUCUCUGGAGCCAGACUGUCCGUGCAGCAAAAAAAAAAAGAAAAGAGUCACACUGUCUGAGGCAUCUGCAGUGGAAGUGAGCUGGCCCGAUGAAGAAGUGAAAACUGCUGACUUGUGUACAAAAAUAAUAUUAGUUUCUCCUUUAAAUGGCAUCACUGUACUGCUCAUAUCACUUACAACACAGCAAAAUAAAGUGCUUUAAAUGCUUUUCCAAUAUGUAAACCAAGGGGGUGAUGUCAGGUCAGAAAAUUAUCUGAAACAUAUUUUCUUACAGCAUAAAAACAUCACAUAGCAAAAUAACUAUGUCAGUAUAAAUAAAAUAAAUCGGGAUAUCAAGUGGCAACCAGCUGGAGAUGAAAUCAAGACAGGAGAAA